AGAGUUUGAUCCUGGCUCAGGACGAACGCUGGCGGCGUGCUUAACACAUGCAAGUCGAACGGUCCGAGGAAUUCGGGGUUGGGAGUUCGAGGCAAAGCUUCGAAUUUCGAACCCCGGAAUCCAAGGAUAGUGGCGGACGGGUGAGUAACGCGUGGAUAACCUGCCCAUGGGGCCGGGAUAACGCCGGGAAACUGGUGCUAAUACCGGAUACAUUUCCACUACCGCAUGGUAGAGGGAAGAAAGGAGCAAUCCGCCCAUGGAUGGAUCCGCGUCCCAUUAGCUUGUUGGUGGGGUAACGGCCUACCAAGGCGACGAUGGGUAGCCGGCCUGAGAGGGUGGCCGGCCACACUGGGACUGAGACACGGCCCAGACUCCUACGGGAGGCAGCAGUGGGGAAUCUUCCGCAAUGGGCGAAAGCCUGACGGAGCAACGCCGCGUGA
Molecule: ribosomal RNA, 440 nt
Filed under: uncultured bacterium
Lineage: Bacteria
Description: bacterial SSU rRNA
Rfam family: Bacterial small subunit ribosomal RNA
Source: RNAcentral